GACGUAGGUGACGAACGUUAUCCGGAAUCAUUGGGCGUAAAGGGUGCGUAGAUGGCAUGAUAAGUUAUUAGUGGGAAAUCGAGGCUCAACCUCGUGGAAGCUAGUAAUACUGUUUUGCUUGAGUACAGAAGAGGUUAACGGAACUCCAUGUGGAGCGGUAAAAUGUGUAGAUAUAUGGAAGAACACCAAUAACGGCGAAGGCAGUUAACUAUUCUGUUACUGACAUUGAGGCACGAAAGCGUGGGGAGCAAAACGG
RNAcentral lists this ribosomal RNA (256 nucleotides) under uncultured bacterium. Its description in RNAcentral is "partial 16S ribosomal RNA". It matches the Rfam family "Bacterial small subunit ribosomal RNA", at positions 524 to 776 of the family's 1533-position model. The record is from RNAcentral.